RNAcentral lists this ribosomal RNA (467 nucleotides) under uncultured bacterium. RNAcentral describes it as "partial 16S ribosomal RNA". It matches the Rfam family "Bacterial small subunit ribosomal RNA", at positions 28 to 507 of the family's 1533-position model. The record is from RNAcentral.
GAUGAACGCUGGCGGCGUGCUUAACACAUGCAAGUCGAACGGAAAGGCCAGUGCUUGCACUGGUGCUCGAGUGGCGAACGGGUGAGUAACACGUGGGUGAUCUGCCCUGCACUUUGGGAUAAGCCUGGGAAACUGGGUCUAAUACCAGAUAGGACCAUGCUUUGGAUGGUGUGGUGGAAAGUUUUUUCGGUGUGGGAUGAGCUUGCGGCCUAUCAGCUUGUUGGUGGGGUAAUGGCCUACCAAGGCGUCGACGGGUAGCCGGCCUGAGAGGGUGUACGGCCACAUUGGGACUGAGAUACGGCACAGACGCCGACGGGAGGCAGCAGUGGGGAAUAUUGCACAAUGGGCGCAAGCCUGAUGCAGCGACGCCGCGUGGGGGAUGACGGCCUUCGGGUUGUAAACUCCUUUCGCAACUGACGAAGCUUUUUGUGACGGUAGGUUGAGAAGAAGCACCGGCUAACUACGUG